RNAcentral lists this ribosomal RNA (301 nucleotides) under uncultured bacterium. RNAcentral describes it as "partial 16S ribosomal RNA". It matches the Rfam family "Bacterial small subunit ribosomal RNA", at positions 509 to 807 of the family's 1533-position model. The record is from RNAcentral.
CAGCCGCCACGGUAAUACGUAGGUGGCAAGCGUUGUCCGGAAUUAUUGGGCGUAAAGGGCUCGCAGGCGGUUUCUUAAGUCUGAUGUGAAAGCCCCCGGCUCAACCGGGGAGGGUCAUUGGAAACUGGGAAACUUGAGUGCGGAAGAGGAGAGUGGAAUUCCACGUGUAGCGGUGAAAUGCGUAGGGAUGUGGAGGAACACCAGUGGCGAAGGCGACUCUCUGGUCUGUAACUGACGCUGAGGAGCGAAAGCGUGGGGAGCGAACAGGAUAAGAUACCCCGGUAGUCCCUGUCUCUUAUAC